RNAcentral lists this ribosomal RNA (491 nucleotides) under uncultured bacterium. RNAcentral's name for it is "partial 16S ribosomal RNA". It matches the Rfam family "Bacterial small subunit ribosomal RNA", at positions 29 to 507 of the family's 1533-position model. The record is from RNAcentral.
GUGAACGCUGGCGGUAGGCCUAACUCAUGCCAGUCGAACGGCAGCACAGUAAGAGCUUGCUCUUACGGGUGGCGAGUGGCGGACGGGUGAGGAAUACAUCGGAAUCUACUUUUUCGUGGGGGAUAACGUAGGGAAACUUACGCUAAUACCGCAUACGACCUACGGGUGAAAGCAGGGGAUCUUCGGACCUUGCGCGAUUGAAUGAGCCGAUGUCGGAUUAGCUAGUUGGCGGGGUAAAGGCCCACCAAGGCGACGAUCCGUAGCUGGUCUGAGAGGAUGAUCAGCCACACUGGAACUGAGACACGGUCCAGACUCCUACGGGAGGCAGCAGUGGGGAAUAUUGGACAAUGGGCGCAAGCCUGAUCCAGCCAUACCGCGUGGGUGAAGAAGGCCUUCGGGUUGUAAAGCCCUUUUGUUGGGAAAGAAAAGCAGCAGGUUAAUACCCCGCUGUUCUGACGGUACCCAAAGAAUAAGCACCGGCUAACUUCGUG